GAUGAACGCUGGCGGCGUGCCUAAUACAUGCAAGUCGAGCGAACAGACGAGGAGCUUGCUCCUCUGACGUUAGCGGCGGACGGGUGAGUAACACGUGGAUAACCUACCUAUAAGACUGGGAUAACUUCGGGAAACCGGAGCUAAUACCGGAUAAUAUAUUGAACCGCAUGGUUCAAUAGUGAAAGACGGUUUUGCUGUCACUUAUAGAUGUAUCCGCGCCGCAUUAGCUAGUUGGUAAGGUAACGGCUUACCAAGGCAACGAUGCGUAGCCGACCUGAGAGGGUGAUCGGCCACACUGGAACUGAGACACGGUCCAGACUCCUACCGGAGGCAGCAGUAGGGAAUCUUCCGCAAAGGGCGAAAGCCUGACGGAGCAACGCCGCGUGAGUGAUGAAGGUCUUCGGAUCGUAAAACUCUGUUAUUAGGGAAGAACAAAUGUGUAAGUAACUAUGCACGUCUUGACGGUACCUAAUCAGAAAGCCACGGCUAACUACGUG
RNAcentral lists this ribosomal RNA (497 nucleotides) under uncultured bacterium. Its description in RNAcentral is "partial 16S ribosomal RNA". It matches the Rfam family "Bacterial small subunit ribosomal RNA", at positions 28 to 507 of the family's 1533-position model. The record is from RNAcentral.